This 24-nucleotide non-coding RNA is filed under the name Arabidopsis thaliana (thale cress). Lineage: Eukaryota; Viridiplantae; Streptophyta; Magnoliopsida; Brassicales; Brassicaceae. The record is from RNAcentral.
AUAGAGGAUAUGUCUAAUAGACUA